Molecule: ribosomal RNA, 468 nt
Filed under: uncultured bacterium
Lineage: Bacteria
Description: partial 16S ribosomal RNA
Rfam family: Bacterial small subunit ribosomal RNA
Source: RNAcentral
GACGAACGCUGGCGGCGUGCUUAACACAUGCAAGUCGAACGGAAAGGCCCUGCUUUUGUGGGGUGCUCGAGUGGCGAACGGGUGAGUAACACGUGAGUAACCUGCCCUUGACUUUGGGAUAACUUCAGGAAACUGGGGCUAAUACCGGAUAGGAGCUCCUGCUGCAUGGUGGGGGUUGGAAAGUUUCGGCGGUUGGGGAUGGACUCGCGGCUUAUCAGCUUGUUGGUGGGGUAGUGGCUUACCAAGGCUUUGACGGGUAGCCGGCCUGAGAGGGUGACCGGCCACAUUGGGACUGAGAGACGGCCCAGACGCCUACGGGAGGCAGCAGGGGGGAAUAUUGCAGAAUGGGCGGAAGCCUGAGGCAGCAACGCCGCGUGCGGGAUGACGGCCUUCGGGUUGUAAACCGCUUUCGCCUGUGACGAAGCGUGAGUGACGGUAAUGGGUAAAGAAGCACCGGCUAACUACGUG